UUUCCCCUGCUGGGUACGUGACUUGCGGAACGAGAAAUAGAUGAACCAACAUUUUAUAUUCGGGAGUGUCCCCUGCCGGCUGUGUGCAUGCCCGUUCGCGGGAAGCCUAAUGUCGAUACGACGCGCCCACCUAGUUGGAGCAGGGUUCAUUGCAUUCCAUCCGCUCGACGGCCAUUGCGGGGGAUUU
RNAcentral lists this non-coding RNA (187 nucleotides) under Deltaproteobacteria bacterium. RNAcentral's name for it is "6S RNA". It matches the Rfam family "6S / SsrS RNA". From Rfam's summary of the family: E. coli 6S RNA was the first non coding RNA to be sequenced, but its function was unknown until recently. It consists of 184 nucleotides that fold into an extended hairpin structure with a large single-stranded internal bulge. The 6S RNA specifically associates with RNA polymerase holoenzyme containing the sigma70 specificity factor. The record is from RNAcentral. Lineage: Bacteria; Pseudomonadati; Myxococcota; Myxococcia.